GGUAUUUCUUAGAGGACCCGUUGCGGGGCGCGGUACUCCUCGAGGGUACUCUGGGGCAUUUGAAGGCGCUACAACGUCAUAUAGCUUGGUGCCGUCCUGAUAAGGGUGCAUGUAAGCCCCAUACACAAGAUAAUAAAUGAUGACACGUACAGUUUCAAAGACAGCCCAUCCUCCCGUCUGCUACUGGUCAUCAGCGUUUGUUACGCAUGGUAUAUGGUGGAAAGCUCACCGAGAUCCUGCUCCUUACAAUCUCGACAGAUCCUCUCAGCCCCGGAGCUUUUUUUAUCCUUUCUCUUUCUUCUUCAUCCAACAUGCCGAAGACUUUGCCUGUUUCUUGAAUUAGCAGCGUUGCAUCUGUGGUAUAUGUGAAUGAUGAGCCGAGGGCAGGUUUGAUGUUGAGUUUGUUAAACCGUGAGAGAGGGUUCGUGGGUAUAGAGGUUACUGUUGAGUUUAUUACCUGCUGUAUCGUCAGAUUCAAUUGAAUACUGGCCGAUAAAUCAAAGUACAAUGGAGACAAUGUUCUGUGAAUAAGUGAUAUUCGCCACAUCCUCCAUGACUGUGACCAGCUCGGCGUGACCUACAGAAUGACGGUCAGUAGAGAAUAUUGUGACUUUCGGAAACGAACCUUGCGCUGAGGUGUUGGUCAACCUGUCUUUGAAAUAGGUGAAGAUGUUGUCAAUGAUCAGGAUUUUUGUUCGCGGUUCUUCAGCCUGGCUGAUCGCCGUCUAUACUUUGUGUCAGCUAUCGCGGUAUGCCAUCGAUCAAUCUCAC
Molecule: small RNA, 771 nt
Filed under: Cryptococcus neoformans H99
Lineage: Eukaryota; Fungi; Basidiomycota; Tremellomycetes; Tremellales; Cryptococcaceae
Description: Cryptococcus neoformans var. grubii H99 hypothetical RNA
Source: RNAcentral